Molecule: long non-coding RNA, 3138 nt
Organism: Hevea brasiliensis (rubber tree)
Lineage: Eukaryota; Viridiplantae; Streptophyta; Magnoliopsida; Malpighiales; Euphorbiaceae
Exons: 2
Source: RefSeq, a predicted model, not a curated record
GAAACUAAUGAUGCAAUGUCUCUGAUGUUUGACUACAUCCAUGGAGGAGUCUUACAGCACCAACCUCCCUAUAGCCAUUUACCGGGCUCUGUUCCUGUAAGCACUCUUUUUUAAGCAUUAUCUAUCAUUGAUUUUUUAAUUUUCCCCCCUUUCUUUAUAGGCUGUGAUCAGCGAAGAAGAAAGUACCACCACCAAUGAAGUCCCUGAAGCAAGUACGCAAACAUUCCCUCCAAAUAAUAAUGGAGGAGAGGUAGCUGCCGAGGUUAUCAACAUCUUGGAAGUCCAACGGAUUGCCUAACUCUUGAAAAUGAUACGACUUGUGUGCCUAACUUACUUAUUUUUGGGUUUGUUCUCUCCGGCAAAAUUCUCUUUGCCGCUGCCACCAUGGUUGUCAAGUAUCUUUUUUUUUUUUUUUUUUGUUAAGUGAAAAUUUCUGUUACUGUUGAUUUCAUUUCGUUGCCUGUGUGAUGCAUAAAUGGAGAAGAAACAAAAAUUUUGUUCCCCUCUUUUUUCACGCACUUAGUGAGUAACCAAACAAUAGAAAUUGUGUGUUUGUGCAUUUUCUUGUCAUUGACCUGUGUAUGCCAUUUUCUAAGUUUUUGGAUGAGUGAUAGCUGCAAAUAGCUUUUGGUUGGCGUUUCUUAUUGUUGGCGAAGGAAUUUUUCUGGUCUACAAUUUAGGAUAAUUUCAGCAAUCACGGUUUUGUUACAAUAUAUUAUGCAAUGUUAAGGAAAUGGCGAAUCUCUGUUUUGUGGCUGCAGGGUAUAUACAUAUUUUUUUCAUGUUUAGGUUUGGAGAAUGUUUGAUGCUAAUAUGUGUUCCCAGUAAAGCUAUUGUUAAUAUGUUAAGAUGACAACAGAAAUUUUAAUGUUAUAAUUGGGAAUUAAAUUUCAUGUAGCCAAUAGAUAACAGGAUUUCAACCGAAAAAUUCCUUAGUCCUAUGUAGAAAAAUAUACUCUGAUGAUCAUCGUUUCCUUAGUAAUUCUGUUUUUAGCGUAUUGUAUGUGACACUUGGAAAUCUUUUAUACUUGGGCUAUGGUUUUUCUUCUUGGUUUGAUUUAAGAUGGUGCAAAAACAUUAAUGUCUUUAAGUUUAAUUAUAGAAAGUUUGUAGAAUUUGUUACUGUUAGUCUAUGAAAUGGCAUCAGAGAAUAUAGGUAAUUAUUGGGUGCCAUUUUUGGAGGUGUUUUUGGAUUUUAUGAACCAUGAUCUAUCAUAAUCAUGAAAAUGUGGUCAUCGGUGGCCUUAGAUUCGUGAUAAUGAUAGCUGCCGAACGUGCAUGUUCUGUUUUGGGAUAUCCCUAUUGAUGAUAGAUUGUCUUCUUGUGGCUUUUUAUUUGUUUCUUUCUGGGAUUAUAACUUCUAAUCUUUUGAGACAAAGUUGAAUAGCAUGUCUUCUAUGAAAUGAAUGCAUUUAAGAUGUGAAUCUUGGAGUAAUUGCUAGUAUUAGGAAUUUCAGAUUUGUUCACGGGGCAAAGAUAUACCCUGGUAAGGAUCUCAGAUUUGUUUGCAUGGAUUCCCAGGUAAUUCCCAGUGUUGCUAUUGAAUGCAUUGUGUUUUAUUUGGCAUACAUGCAUUGUUUUCAGCUGGUGAAACUUAAUAAUCUCUGUGACUGUGAUCAAUUAAUGUCCUCCUCUUUGCCAAGUCAAAAUGCAAGAGGUACUUCCACAACCAACUGAAGCCCUCAAACUAACUUGUUGACUUCCAAGAGUUUGCAUAUUUGGAACAAUAAUUUAUUGUUGUAAUUAUCGCUAUUAUUGACUUUUUGUCAAUCAUUGUGUGGAACAAUAAUUUAUUGUUCUAAUUUUCUUUUCAAAAUAAGAUUUCUAGUUUGAGGUAGCCGGGACUGUGUCUUGGUCAUGUAUGUUGUUAUGUUAGGCAAAUUGGUUCUCAAGCAAUGUGCAAACACUGACUUGCAGAUUAUAUGCAGAAUUCAUAAACACAUUUGUGCACAUUCACAGUCCUUUGCAUUGGAGCUUUGCUUUUUUACUUCUUUAAUGAUUUUUUUAGCUAAUGUUUGAACAGGGCAAUUGCUUGGCUUGGAAACAUGAAAAGUAAUAGCCCAAUAACAUCAUCUUUUUUGUGAAAUUCAUGAAAACUGAAACUAUUGGAGGAUUCUCCCAUCAUAGUUGGUUUUGCUUAGCAUAACUAUAUGCUCAUAGGCAUUUUGGCUAUAAACAAGGAAUCCCAUUCUUACAUUUUUCCCCUUCUCAAUAUGUAAGCUUUACAUCAUCCCUAGAAGAGAGAUAUAUCCUAGGUUUAUAAUCUGUUUCAGUUAUCCAAAUAUUUUGUCUUUGUUUUAGUGAUUGAGAAUGCCUAAUAGGUAGAGGGCAUAUACUGGUAUACAUGCAUCUACUAGAUGUAAGUUGAUAAGACCACAAAUGUUUUAUCACGUGGAUGGUUCAAAGAGACCACUUGAAUUGGUGGCUUCACAUUUUCUAGUGAUAAUAAUUUCUCAAGUGGGCAUUGGAUAUUUUUGAUACAGUUUGAGGCUGGGGAAUACUUUUUUACUGCAAUAAAAUAGGGUUGCUAUAUAAUUUAUUCUUCCUCAAAAUAAAUCCCAAAGGAAACAAAAAGAAAGAUAAAAUAAAAUAGAGAUAUUACUUAAUAGGACGAUGAAACUAAUGAUGCAUGACAUCUUUUUAUUUCAUAAAUCCAGAUCGAUCUAUGGUAUACCUUGUCUUGUUAAUUAUUUAUUUGUUGAUAUUCAAUGUGGGUAUUAAUGCAUGUGUGGAAUGGGAAUGUAUGAACAUUUUUACUGUGAAUUUGACCAGCAUUGUGAGGGGCUUUUGCAUAAUCUUUUGUCGUAAAUUUUGAUGCGGCACAAUUUCACAUAAGUUAUUGGUGAUGCAUAAUUUGCUGCAUUAAUCUGCAUGUUACUAAUUCUUGCUCCUAUUUAACAUCUCAUCUUGUGCAGAAGCAUUUGAGCAACAACCACCAAACAAUUGGGAAGGGGUAUUCAGUGUGUCAUCAUACACAGUAUACACAAUAAUAUAUUUCUGAUCAGGUAACAAAGUUUGGAUUUUGGCUUUUGUAAGAAAUGGGAGCUUAAAUGUGACCGAGGUUAGUGGUAAUGCAAUGUUUAAGUAAUGGCAUUUUGUGGGUUAAAGAGAUAAAUUAUAGCUUUUUUAAAUUGAUAA